AAAUAAAUGAGAGAGCAGAAGGUAAAGCGGACGUUUCAUAACAGUUUAACUAGAGCUCGUACUGAAAAGGACUGUUUACAAGUUUAAUCAGCAACCCCCCGAAAAGGCAUAAGCUCUUACGGUGAUUUCAAGAGUAAAGGAAUGUAAAUAAAGCAACUUGAAACAUCAGUAAAGUUUCGGCCAUCAUUCGGAUGGGGUCUGCUACA
Danio rerio (zebrafish) is the source of this 206-nucleotide non-coding RNA. The record is from Ensembl. NCBI's taxonomy places the organism in Eukaryota, Metazoa, Chordata, Actinopteri, Cypriniformes, Danionidae.